Molecule: ribosomal RNA, 253 nt
Filed under: uncultured bacterium
Lineage: Bacteria
Description: partial 16S ribosomal RNA
Rfam family: Bacterial small subunit ribosomal RNA
Source: RNAcentral
UACAGAGGUCCCAAGCGUUGUUCGGAUUCACUGGGCGUAAAGGGUGCGUAGGCGGUCGGGUAAGUCUGAUGUGAAAUCUCACAGCUUAACUGUGAAACUGCAUUGGAUACUAUCCGGCUAGAGGAAUGGAGGGGAGACUGGAAUUCCUGGUGUAGCGGUGAAAUGCGCAGAUAUCAGGAGGAACACCAAUGGCGAAGGCAGCUCGCUGGGACGGUACUGACGCUGAGACGCGAAAGCGUGGGGAGCAAACAGG